GACGAACGCUGGCGGCGUGCUUAACACAUGCAAGUCGAACGGAAAGGCCCUGCUUUUGUGGGGUGCUCGAGUGGCGAACGGGUGAGUAACACGUGAGUAACCUGCCCUUGACUUUGGGAUAACUUCAGGAAACUGGGGCUAAUACCGGAUAGGAGCUCCUGCUGCAUGGUGGGGGUUGGAAAGUUUCGGCGGUUGGGGAUGGACUCGCGGCUUAUCAGCUUGUUGGUGGGGUAGUGGCUUACCAAGGCUUUGACGGGUAGCCGGCCUGAGAGGGUGACCGGCGACGUUGGGACUGAGAGACGGCCCAGACUCCUACGGGAGGCAGCAGUGGGGAAUAUUGCGCAAUGGGCGGAAGCCUGAUGCAGCAACGCCGCGUGCGGGAUGACGGCCUUCGGGUUGUAAACCGCUUUCGCCUGUGACGAAGCGUGAGUGACGGUAAUGGGUAAAGAAGCACCGGCUAACUACGUG
This 468-nucleotide ribosomal RNA is filed under the name uncultured bacterium. Its description in RNAcentral is "partial 16S ribosomal RNA". It matches the Rfam family "Bacterial small subunit ribosomal RNA", at positions 28 to 507 of the family's 1533-position model. The record is from RNAcentral.